UGUUUACAAAGAAUGCUCAAAAACAAGGAAUUAUGUAUAACAGUUCCCAGUUUACUCAGGAAAUUCUCAGAUUACAAAGAGACUUUACGAAUAACAAGUGAAGAGAAGAACCUUAGUGGUUCCAACAUAGUAUGGCCAUCGUUUUAUACUCAAAAUAUAGAAAGACAACCUCAGAAUAGAAUUGAAUAAAUCAAGUUUAUCAUUAAAACGCAAAGAAAAAAAAACUCUCCAAACGUUGCUGAUCUUCUGUUUUAAACUACUGUUAGACUGGUGAGCUGGAGAGCCGGGGGAAUCCACCAAAGAUUUUUGGAUGAAAAUUAAUCAUCCCUUGUCCACCGUAGUCGCACCCCAAUGCCCCUCAGAUCCAGUCCUUCGAAGGAGUGUCCAAGAGGUAUAAAGCAAAACCGGAAAAACAGUUCCCAAAUUCUGGAGUUUGUUUUCUCUCAUUAAAAAUAUAAAUAUCAGGCUAACACCUAUUGACACACAAUAACAGGGACACAGAAUCCCUCCCGGAAGACCCAUGGGCCCACGGACCCCGCGGAUGCCACAGUGGUUGACGAGGUUAAGUAACUGGGUUCAGGGUGUCUGGGCAUACCUGUGCGUGAGACUCUGUCUCCGCUGCUCCCCUCAUCUCCACUGCUCCCCUCGUCUCCCCACGAUCCUCCCUUUUCCUUGGGCCGCUGAUGGCUCUCCGACUCACGAAGAGUCUCCCUGGCCCCUGCAGCUCUCUCCUUCCCAGACCUUUACUUCUUGAUCCUCACUCCA
This 765-nucleotide long non-coding RNA is filed under the name Homo sapiens (human). Its description in RNAcentral is "HSALNT0014473". The record is from RNAcentral. Lineage: Eukaryota; Metazoa; Chordata; Mammalia; Primates; Hominidae.